AGGGUUUGAUCAUGGCUCAGAAUCAACGCUGGCGGCGUGCCUCAGACAUGCAAGUCGAACGCGAAAGUUUCCUUCGGGAGACUAGUAGAGUGGCGCACGGGUGAGUAACACGUAGGUAAUCUACCUUCGGGUGGGGAAUAACCCAGGGAAACUUGGGCUAACACCGCAUAAUGCAGCGGCACCACAUGGUGACAGUUGUUAAAGCGGGGGAUUUUCGGACCUCGCGCCUGGAGAGGAGCCUGCGGCGGAUUAGCUAGUUGGUAGGGUAACGGCUUACCAAGGCGACGAUCCGUAACCGGCCUGAGAGGGCGGUCGGUCACACUGACACUGACAUUCGGGUCAGACUCCUACGGGAGGCAGCAGUCGGGAAUUUUGGGCAAUGGGCGAAAGCCUGACCCAGCAACGCCGCGUGAAGGAUGAAAUCCCUCGGGAUGUAAACUUCGCAAGAAUGGGAAGAAUUAGUAGGGGCUAAUACCCUCUAUGAUGACGGUACCAUUUGUAAGCUCCGGCUAACUCCGUGCCAGCAGCCGCGGUAAUACGGGGGGAGCAAGCGUUGUUCGGAUUUACUGGGCGUAAAGGGCGCGUAGGCGGCCAGCGCAAGUCGGUUGUGAAAUCUCCGGGCUUAACUCGGAAAGGUCAACUGAUACUGCGCGGCUAGAGUGCAGAAGGGGCAACUGGAAUUCUCGGUGUAGCGGUGAAAUGCGUAGAUAUCGAGAGGAACACCUGCGGCGAAGGCGGGUUGCUGGGCUGACACUGACGCUGAUGCGCGAAAGCCAGGGGAGCGAACGGGAUUAGAUACCCCGGUAGUCCUGGCCUUAAACGAUGGAUGCUUGGUGUCUGGAGUUUUAUAGUCUCCGGGU
RNAcentral lists this ribosomal RNA (860 nucleotides) under uncultured Acidobacteriota bacterium. RNAcentral's name for it is "bacterial SSU rRNA". It matches the Rfam family "Bacterial small subunit ribosomal RNA", at positions 8 to 844 of the family's 1533-position model. Lineage: Bacteria; Pseudomonadati; Acidobacteriota. The record is from RNAcentral.